AAUCCAUAGGUUAAUGAGGCGAACCGGGGGAACUGAAACAUCUAAGUACCCCGAGGAAAAGAAAUCAACCGAGAUUCCCCCAGUAGCGGCGAGCGAACGGGGAGGAGCCCAGAGCCUGAAUCAGCAUGUGUGUUAGUGGAAGCGUCUGGAAAGGCGCGCGAUACAGGGUGACAGCCCCGUACACAAAAGCGCAUGUGCUGUGAGCUCGAUGAGUAGGGCGGGACACGUGGUAUCCUGUCUGAAUAUGGGGGGACCAUCCUCCAAGGCUAAAUACUCCUGACUGACCGAUAGUGAACCAGUACCGUGAGGGAAAGGCGAAAAGAACCCCGGCGAGGGGAGUGAAAAAGAACCUGAAACCGUGUACGUACAAGCAGUGGGAGCACAGGUUUACCUGUGUGACUGCGUACCUUUUGUAUAAUGGGUCAGCGACUUAUAUUCUGUAGCAAGGUUAACCGUAUAGGGGAGCCGGAGGGAAACCGAGUCUUAAUUGGGCGUUAAGUUGCAGGGUAUAGACCCGAAACCCGGUGAUCUAGCCAUGGGCAGGUUGAAGGUUGGGUAACACUAACUGGAGGACCGAACCGACUAAUGUUGAAAAAUUAGCGGAUGACCUGUGGCUGGGGGUGAAAGGCCAAUCAAACCGGGAGAUAGCUGGUUCUCCCCGAAAGCUAUUUAGGUAGCGCCUCGUGAAUUCAUCUCCGGGGGUAGAGCACUGUUUCGGCUAGGGGGCCAUCCCGGCUUACCAACCCGAUGCAAACUGCGAAUACCGGAGAAUGUUAUCACGGGAGACACACGGCGGGUGCUAACGUCCGUCGUGAAGAGGGAAACAACCCAGACCGCCAGCUAAGGUCCCAAAGUCAUGGUUAAGUGGGAAACGAUGUGGGAAGGCCCAGACAGCCAGGAUGUUGGCUUAGAAGCAGCCAUCAUUUAAAGAAAGCGUAAUAGCUCACUGGUCGAGUCGGCCUGCGCGGAAGAUGUAACGGGGCUAAACCAUGCACCGAAGCUGCGGCAGCGACACUGUGUGUUGUUGGGUAGGGGAGCGUUCUGUAAGCCUGUGAAGGUGUGUCGUGAG
RNAcentral lists this ribosomal RNA (1069 nucleotides) under Salmonella enterica subsp. enterica serovar Newport. Its description in RNAcentral is "partial 23S ribosomal RNA". It matches the Rfam family "Bacterial large subunit ribosomal RNA", at positions 161 to 1267 of the family's 2925-position model. Lineage: Bacteria; Pseudomonadati; Pseudomonadota; Gammaproteobacteria; Enterobacterales; Enterobacteriaceae. The record is from RNAcentral.